AAGAAGGUUUCGGAUCGUAAAACUCUGUGGUGGGAGAAGAAUGUAUCUGAUAGUAACUGAUCAGGUAGUGACGGUAUCCAACCAGAAAGCCACGGCUAACUACGUGCCAGCAGCCGCGGUAAUACGUAGGUGGCAAGCGUUGUCCGGAUUUAUUGGGCGUAAAGCGAGCGCAGGCGGUUUCUUAAGUCUGAUGUGAAAGCCUUCGGCUCAACCGAAGAAGUGCAUCGGAAACUGGGAAACUUGAGUGCAGAAGAGGACAGUGGAACUCCAUGUGUAGCGGUGAAAUGCGUAGAUAUAUGGAAGAACACCAGUGGCGAAGGCGGCUGUCUGGUCUGUAACUGACGCUGAGGCUCGAAAGCAUGGGUAGCAAACAGGAUUAGAUACCCUGGUAGUCCAUGCCGUAAACGAUGAGUGCUAGGUGUUGGAGGGUUUCCGCCCUUCAGUGCCGCAGCUAACGCAUUAAGCACUCCGCCUGGGGAGUACGACCGCAAGGUUGAAACUCAAAGGAAUUGACGGGGGCCCGCACAAGCGGUGGAGCAUGUGGUUUAAUUCGAAGCAACGCGAAGAACCUUACCAGGUCUUGACAUCCUUUGACCACUCUAGAGAUAGAGCUUUCCCUUCGGGGACAAAGUGACAGGUGGUGCAUGGUUGUCGUCAGCUCGUGUCGUGAGAUGUUGGGUUAAGUCCCGCAACGAGCGCAACCCUUAUUACUAGUUGCCAGCAUUUAGUUGGGCACUCUAGUGAGACUGCCGGUGACAAACCGGAGGAAGGUGGGGACGACGUCAAAUCAUCAUGCCCCUUAUGACCUGGGCUACACACGUGCUACAAUGGAUGGUACAACGAGUUGCGAGACCGCGAGGUUUAGCUAAUCUCUUAAAACCAUUCUCAGUUCGGAUUGUAGGCUGCAACUCGCCUACAUGAAGCCGGAAUCGCUAGUAAUCGCGGAUCAGCAUGCCGCGGUGAAUACGUUCCCGGGCCUUGUACACACCGCCCGUCACACCAUGAGAGUUUGUAACACCCAAAGCCGGUGAGGUAACCCUUCGGGAGCCAGCCGUCUAAG
This 1060-nucleotide ribosomal RNA is filed under the name Latilactobacillus sakei. RNAcentral describes it as "bacterial SSU rRNA". It matches the Rfam family "Bacterial small subunit ribosomal RNA", at positions 408 to 1461 of the family's 1533-position model. Lineage: Bacteria; Bacillati; Bacillota; Bacilli; Lactobacillales; Lactobacillaceae. The record is from RNAcentral.